CAGGCACUGCAGGAGGAGAGUCGCUACCUACGGGCAGUCUUAGCCAACGAGACUGGACUGGCUCGCUUGCUGAGCCGGCUGAGCGGCGUGGGACUGCGGCUGACCACCUCGCUCUUCAGAGACUCGCCCGCCGGUGACCACGACUACGCUCUGCCGGUGGGAAAGCAGAAGCAGGACCUGCUGGAAGAGGACGACUCGGCGGGAGGAGUCUGUCUCCAUGUGGACAAGGAUAAGGUGUCGGUGGAGUUCUGCUCGGCGUGCGCCCGGAAGGCGUCGUCUUCUCUUAAAAUGUAGGGUCAAGUAAUCUGCUCUUUAUCCGCGUUUACCCCUUUCAACUCCCUUACACCAUGUCAAACUUACCUUAGUGGGACAUCUUCACCGGACACAUUUCAGAGGAGAGAAAAAAAGUAAUAUUGAAUCUUAAAGUGUUUAGCUAAAAGCAUGAAUGUGACACAGUAACCAACUCCUAAUGAUAACAUGUGACUAUUAAAUCUCUCUGACAGUUUCUUUUUUAGGUGAUUUCCUUCCUGCCAGGCUCCGUUGUAGGGGUUACAGAACAGUCGUUCCCGCCUCACAACCUGUGGAUACAGCUGUUGGGGCAGAAGAGACGGGACCAGCUGCUGGCCACAUUUCCUGCUUUAUUUUAAAAGCUUAGCAGUGUCUGCAAAAACGAAUCUUUUCCUACAACCUGUUAACUGACUGGACUGUUGGUAACAAAGUAAUUGUGAGAACCAUGUCGGUCAAAAAUUUGGCAUCUGCUGAAAAAAAUGAAUGCCAUUUUCAAGUUCCCAAAUUACUUCUAUACUGAUUUCACUUUCCAGAAAUGGAGAUAUGAAAAGAUUCUCUGGAAUCCUUGAAAGACUUAAUAGAGAUACAUGAGACUAAGUUAAUCUUGGAACAAAAUUAUACUUUUUUUGUCUUUCAUGGGAGUGAUACUCAGUUAUUGCAUAUCUUUACAAAAUUGUAACCUUUGGAGAAUUACAGUAUUUCAUCAAGAAAUUAGAGUUUUUACAUAAUCAAGAGCAUAUUCUAUGGAAUUAACAUUUAGUGGACUAGAAUUACAUAAGCAGGCCAUCAGUGAUCACAAGGCAUAUGAGUU
Molecule: non-coding RNA, 1099 nt
Filed under: Pan troglodytes (chimpanzee)
Lineage: Eukaryota; Metazoa; Chordata; Mammalia; Primates; Hominidae
Also listed under: 1 other name
Source: RNAcentral